This 663-nucleotide ribosomal RNA is filed under the name Achromobacter denitrificans. Its description in RNAcentral is "bacterial SSU rRNA". It matches the Rfam family "Bacterial small subunit ribosomal RNA", at positions 46 to 704 of the family's 1533-position model. RNAcentral also lists the same sequence under 1 other name. The record is from RNAcentral. Lineage: Bacteria; Pseudomonadati; Pseudomonadota; Betaproteobacteria; Burkholderiales; Alcaligenaceae.
UCUUUACACAUGCAAGUCGAACGGCAGCACGGACUUCGGUCUGGUGGCGAGUGGCGAACGGGUGAAUAAUGUAUCGGAACGUGCCCAGUACCGGGGGAUAACUACGCGAAAGCGUAGCUAAUACCGCAUACGCCCUACGGGGGAAAGCAGGGGAUCGCAAGACCUUGCACUAUUGGAGCGGCCGAUAUCGGAUUAGCUAGUUGGUGGGGUAACGGCUCACCAAGGCGACGAUCCGUAGCUGGUUUGAGAGGACGACCAGCCACACUGGGACUGAGACACGGCCCAGACUCCUACGGGAGGCAGCAGUGGGGAAUUUUGGACAAUGGGGGAAACCCUGAUCCAGCCAUCCCGCGUGUGCGAUGAAGGCCUUCGGGUUGUAAAGCACUUUUGGCAGGAAAGAAACGUCGCGGGUUAAUACCCCGCGGAACUGACGGUACCUGCAGAAUAAGCACCGGCUAACUACGUGCCAGCAGCCGCGGUAAUACGUAGGGUGCAAGCGUUAAUCGGAAUUACUGGGCGUAAAGCGUGCGCAGGCGGUUCGGAAAGAAAGAUGUGAAAUCCCAGAGCUUAACUUUGGAACUGCAUUUUUGACUACCGGGCUAGAGUGUGUCAGAGGGAGGUGGAAUUCCGCGUGUAGCAGUGAAAUGCGUAAAUAUGCGGAGG